CUAACUACCGCAUACGAUCUAGUGGAUAGAAAGCGAGGGGACCGCAAGGCCUUGCGCGUUUGGAGCGGCCGAUGGCAGAUUAGGUAGUUGGUGGGAUAAAAGCUUUACCAAGCCGACGAUCUGUAGCUGGUCUGAGAGGACGACCAGCCACACUGGGACUGAGACACGGCCCAGACUCCUACGGGAGGCAGCAGUGAGGAAUAUUGGUCAAUGGGCGCAAGCCUGAACCAGCCAUGCCGCGUGCAGGAAGAAUGCCCUAUGGGUUGUAAACUGCUUUUAUUUAGGAAUAAACCUUACUACGUGUAGUAAGCUGAAGGUACUGAAUGAAUAAGCACCGGCUAACUCCGUG
Molecule: ribosomal RNA, 349 nt
Filed under: uncultured bacterium
Lineage: Bacteria
Description: bacterial SSU rRNA
Rfam family: Bacterial small subunit ribosomal RNA
Source: RNAcentral